GAUGAACGCUGGCGGCGUGCCUAAUACAUGCAAGUCGAGCGAACGGACGCUAAGCUUGCUUCUCUGAUGUUAGCGGCGGACGGGUGAGUAACACGUGGAUAACCUACCUAUAAUACUGGGAUAACUUCGGGAAACCGGCGCUAAUACCGUAUAAUAUUUUGAACCGCAUGGUUCAAAAGUGAAAGACGGUCUUGCUGUCACUUAUCGAUGGAUCCGCGCUGCAUUAGCUAGUUGUUAAGGUAACGGCUUACCAAGGCAACGAUGCGUAGCCGACCUGAGAGGGUGGUCGGCCGCACUGGAGCUGGAUCACGGUCCAGGCUCCUACGGGAGGCAGCAGAAGGGAAUGUUACGCAGUGGGGGAGAGCCUGACGGAGCGACGCCGCGUGAGUGAUGAAGGUCUUCGGAUCGUAAUACUCGGUUAUGAGGGGUGAACAUAUGUGUAAGUAACUGAGCACAUAUUGACGGUACCUAAUAAGAAAGCAACGGCUAACUACGUG
RNAcentral lists this ribosomal RNA (497 nucleotides) under uncultured bacterium. RNAcentral's name for it is "partial 16S ribosomal RNA". It matches the Rfam family "Bacterial small subunit ribosomal RNA", at positions 28 to 507 of the family's 1533-position model. The record is from RNAcentral.